UAAGACGAACCGUGCGAACGUUAUUCGGAAUCACUGGGCUUAAAGCGCGUGUAGGCGGAUUGGAACGUCGGUGCCUGAAAUCCCCCGGCUCAACCGGGGAACGCGGCCCGAAACGACCAGUCUUGAGGGGUGUAGGGGGAACUGGAACUUCCGGUGGAGCGGUGAAAUGCGUUGAGAUCGGAAGGAACGCCCGUGGCGAAAGCGAGUUCCUGGACGCCUGCUGACGCUGAGACGCGAAAGCUAGGGGAGCGAACGGGAUUAGAUACCCCGGUAGUCCUAGCCGUAAACGAUGAGCACUGGGUAGGGGGUCCGCCCAUGGACUCCCUGCCGCAGGGAAACCGUGAAGUGCUCCGCCUGGGGAGUAUGGUCGCAAGGCUG
This 378-nucleotide ribosomal RNA is filed under the name uncultured Planctomycetota bacterium. Its description in RNAcentral is "bacterial SSU rRNA". It matches the Rfam family "Bacterial small subunit ribosomal RNA", at positions 521 to 896 of the family's 1533-position model. Lineage: Bacteria; Pseudomonadati; Planctomycetota. The record is from RNAcentral.